This 460-nucleotide ribosomal RNA is filed under the name uncultured bacterium. Its description in RNAcentral is "partial 16S ribosomal RNA". It matches the Rfam family "Bacterial small subunit ribosomal RNA", at positions 338 to 795 of the family's 1533-position model. The record is from RNAcentral.
CCUACGGGUGGCAGCAGUGAGGAAUAUUGGUCAAUGGGCGCGAGCCUGAACCAGCCAAGUAGCGUGAAGGAUGACUGCCCUACGGGUUGUAAACUUCUUUUAUAAAGGAAUAAAGUGAGGCACGUGUGCCUGUAUGUAGGUACUUUAUGAAUAAGGAUCGGCUAACUCCGUGCCAGCAGCCGCGGUAAUACGGAGGAUCCGAGCGUUAUCCGGAUUUAUUGGGUUUAAAGGGAGCGUAGAUGGGUUGUUAAGUCAGGUGUGAAAGUUUGAGGCUCAACCGUAAAAUUGCAAUUGAUACUGGGAGUCUUGAGUAUAGUUGAGGUAGGCGGAAUUCGUGGUGUAGCGGUGAAAUGCUUAGAUAUCACGAAGAACUCCGAUUGCGAAGGCAGCUUACUAAACUGCAACUGACAUUGAUGCUCGAAAGUGUGGGUAUCAAACAGGAUUAGAUACCCUAGUAGUC